RNAcentral lists this ribosomal RNA (449 nucleotides) under uncultured bacterium. RNAcentral describes it as "bacterial SSU rRNA". It matches the Rfam family "Bacterial small subunit ribosomal RNA", at positions 331 to 794 of the family's 1533-position model. The record is from RNAcentral.
CCAGACUCCUACGGGAGGCAGCAGUGGGGGAUAUUGGACAAUGGGGGGAACCCUGAUCCAGCGACGCCGCGUGAGUGAAGAAGUAUCUCGGUAUGUAAAGCUCUAUCAGCAGGGAAGAAAGAAAUGACGGUACCUGAGUAAGAAGCCCCGGCUAACUACGUGCCAGCAGCCGCGGUAAUACGUAGGGGGCAAGCGUUAUCCGGAUUUACUGGGUGUAAAGGGAGCGUAGACGGCAGUGCAAGUCUGAAGUGAAAGCCCCGGGCUUAACCCGGGAAUUGCUUUGGAAACUGUACGGCUGGAGUGCUGGAGAGGUAAGCGGAAUUCCUAGUGUAGCGGUGAAAUGCGUAGAUAUUAGGAGGAACACCAGUGGCGAAGGCGGCUUACUGGACAGUAACUGACGUUGAGGCUCGAAAGCGUGGGGAGCAAACAGGAUUAGAUACCCCGGUAGA